GAGAAAGUGUCGGUCUCCAAGAUGGCGGCCGCCUGGCCGUCUGGUCCGUCUGCUCCGGAGGCCGUGACGGCCAGACUCGUUGGUGUCCUGUGGUUCGUCUCAGUCACUACAGGACCCUGGGGGGCUGUUGCCACCUCCGCCGGGGGCGAGGAGUCGCUUAAGUGCGAGGACCUCAAAGUGGGACAAUAUCCUCUGUGGAGAACACCCCCCCAUGGAGGCGAGACAGGGUCUUACUCUGUCGCCCUGGCUGGAGUACAGUGGCACGAUCUCAGCUCACUGCAGCCUCCGCCUCCCGGGUUCAGUCAAUUCUCCUGCCUCAGCCUCCUGAGUAGCUGGGACUACAGGCAUGCGCCACCACACCCGGAUCCAAAAAUAAAUGACGCUACGCAAGAACCAGUUAACUGUACAAACUACACAGCUCAUGUUUCCUGUUUUCCAGCACCCAACAUAACUUGUAAGGAUUCCAGUGGCAAUGAAACACAUUUUACUGGGAACGAAGUUGGUUUUUUCAAGCCCAUAUCUUGCCGAAAUGUAAAUGGCUAUUCCUACAAAGUGGCAGUCGCAUUGUCUCUUUUUCUUGGAUGGUUGGGAGCAGAUCGAUUUUACCUUGGAUACCCUGCUUUGGGUUUGUUAAAGUUUUGCACUGUAGGGUUUUGUGGAAUUGGGAGCCUAAUUGAUUUCAUUCUUAUUUCAAUGCAGAGACAGGGUCUUGCUCUGUUGCCCAGGCUGGAGUGCAGUGGCGUGAUCAUAACUCAUUGCAGCCUCGAAUUCCUGGGUUCAAACAAUCUUCCUGCCUCAGCCUCCCAUCCAGUAUGGGAUAUUUUAAAAGAUUGUUGGACCUUCAGAUGGAAGUAGUUACAUUAUAGAUUACUAUGGAACCAGACUUACAAGACUGAGUAUUACUAAUGAAACAUUUAGAAAAACGCAAUUAUAUCCAUAAAUAUUUUUUAAAAGAAACAGAUUUGAGCCUCCUUGAUUUUAAUAGAGAACUUCUAGUGUAUGGAUUUAAAGAUUUCUCUUUUUCAUUCAUAUACCAUUUUAUGAGUUCUGUAUAAUUUUUUGUGGUUUUUGUUUUGUUGAGUUAAAGUAUAUUAUUGUGAGAUUUAUUUAAUAGGACUUCCUUUGAAAGCUGUAUAAUAGUGUUUCUCGGGCUUCUGUCUCUAUGAGAGAUAGCUUAUUACUCUGAUACUCUUUAAUCUUUUACAAAGGCAAGUUGCCACUUGUCAUUUUUGUUUCUGAAAAAUAAAAGUAUAACUUAUUCACA
Homo sapiens (human) is the source of this 1264-nucleotide RNA transcript. It is a transcript of the gene named TM2 domain containing 1, with no coding region annotated. The transcript has 9 exons. The record is from RefSeq and is marked reviewed. Lineage: Eukaryota; Metazoa; Chordata; Mammalia; Primates; Hominidae.